AAGAAUUGCCCUGUUUUUUCGAAAAUGGGAUCUAUUCCAAACCGUGUAUACAUACCUUUGUUGCUUUGGCGGGCCGCCGUCUCGGCGUUGGCUCCGGCUGACUGUGCCCGCCAGAGGACCACAACUCUUCUGUUUAGUGAUGUCUGAGUACUAUAUAAUAGUUA
RNAcentral lists this unclassified non-coding RNA (164 nucleotides) under uncultured Pseudoclathrosphaerina. Its description in RNAcentral is "sequence contains ITS1". The record is from RNAcentral. Lineage: Eukaryota; Fungi; Ascomycota.